Molecule: microRNA precursor, 59 nt
Filed under: Drosophila mojavensis
Lineage: Eukaryota; Metazoa; Arthropoda; Insecta; Diptera; Drosophilidae
Description: Dmo-Mir-252-P1a_pre stem-loop
Source: RNAcentral
UAAGUAGUAACCAUUAAAAGGUCGUGAUUUGAACUCAACCUUUUAAUUUACUACUUGUG